UGAGUACGAGAUGCUACGGCAUCGAAGCAGUCUAUGUCAUACUUCCAAGAAAAGCUUGCACUGUCAGAAACAGAUAAUGCCUGUACCAUAACCGACACAGGUGGGUAGGUAGAGUAUACUAAGGGGCGCGAGAUAACUCUCUCUAAGGAACUCGGCAAAAUGACUCCGUAACUUCGGGAGAAGGAGUGCCUUAUUUUUAAGGUUGCAAUAACAAGAUCCAAGCAACUGUCUACCAAAAACACAGGUCUCCGCUAAGUCGUAAGACGAUGUAUGGGGGCUGACGCCUGCCCAGUGCCAGAAGGUUAAAGAAGUCGGUUAGCAUUCGCGAAGCUGGUAACUGAAGCCCUGGUGAACGGCGGCCGUAACAAUAACGGUCCUAAGGUAGCGAAAUUCCUUGUCGGGUAAGUUCCGACCCGCACGAAAGGCGUAAUGAUUUGGAUACUGUCUCGGAGAGGGGCUCGGUGAAAUAGACUUGUCUGUGAAGAUGCGGACUACCUGCACCUGGACAGAAAGACCCUAUGAAGCUUUACUGUAACUUGAAAUUGAAAUUGGACUUUAUUUGCGCAGUAUAGGUGGGAGGCGUUGAAAAUAUUCUUGCGGGAAUAUUGGAGCCAUCAGUGAGAUACCACUCUUGUAAUGUUAGAUUUCUAACUUUAUAUCAUUAUCUGGUUAAAGAACAGUUUCAGGCGGGCAGUUUGACUGGGGCGGUCGCCUCCCAAAUGGUAACGGAGGCGCACAAAGGUUUCCUCUGAACGGGUAGAAAUCGUAUCUAGAGUGUAAAGGCAUAAGGAAGCUUGACUGUGAGACCUACAAGUCGAGCAGGGACGAAAGUCGGUCUUAGUGAUCUGACGGUGCUGAGUGGAAAGGCCGUCACUCAACGGAUAAAAGUUACUCUAAGGAUAACAGGCUGAUCUCCCCCAAGAGUUCACAUCGACGGGGAGGUUUGGCACCUCGAUGUCGGCUCAUCGCAUCCUGGGGCGGUAGUACGUCCCAAGGGUUGGGCUGUUCGCCCAUGAAAGCGGUACGCGAGCUGGGUUCAGAACGUCGUGGGACAGUUCGGUCCAUAUCCGGUGUAGGCGUUAGAAUAUUGAGAGGAGCCUUCUUUAGUACGAGAGGACCGAGAAGGACAUACCUCUGGUGUACCAGUUAUCGUGCCAACGGUAAACGCUGGGUAGCUAUGUAUGGAGUGGAUAACCGCUGAAAGCAUCUAAGUGGGAAGCCCACCUCAAGAUAAGUAUUCCC
Molecule: ribosomal RNA, 1242 nt
Filed under: metagenome
Description: bacterial LSU rRNA
Rfam family: Bacterial large subunit ribosomal RNA
Source: RNAcentral